AGGUAGCUCACAUUCAUGAUCACAGGACUUCACUCUACUUAUACGAGCAUCGAUAUCUUUCCUUUAGGUGUUUAAUUACAAAGCCCAAUCGACAUUCUCCGAAGAUAUCCCGAAGUGUGCCGACACUGGUAAGAAAAUAGUGUGGAGAUCACAUCUCACUAGAAAAGGUAACUUUAGCGUAUCGGGUCACAGCAUCCAACUAGGAAUUUUAUCACCGGAACUAUUGAUCCUCUACUCAAUUUGUUACCGGGGGAAAAUACCGCUACCGGAGUUUUGCACCCUGCAGGAUAAAUUUUAGUACCGGGUAAUGUAUGAUCGGAAUUUACUACGAGAGUUACCACCGGAUAAUUUUACCAUCGGAG
Molecule: non-coding RNA, 362 nt
Organism: Paramuricea clavata
Lineage: Eukaryota; Metazoa; Cnidaria; Anthozoa; Malacalcyonacea; Plexauridae
Source: the annotation of a GenBank genome assembly